Molecule: long non-coding RNA, 8006 nt
Filed under: Canis lupus familiaris (dog)
Lineage: Eukaryota; Metazoa; Chordata; Mammalia; Carnivora; Canidae
Description: lncRNA (ENSCAFG00000052143.1, ENSCAFG00845019943.1)
Source: RNAcentral
UUUUUAUUUUUUUGCUCAACCAGUUUUAGAGGUCAACAGAUGAGCUGACCUCUCAAACUACCUUUCAGCCUGGGAUGGUGUCACCACUUGAGACAAGGCUGGAGACCAGGUUGCUCGUUGUACCACCUGGUAGCAAGGGGGAUUACGGGUACGUUGCAGGAGGGUGAAACCAGGGCCGCUUCCCAGAGUUAACAAAGGGGUUAUGAGAGUAGCAGGGGAUCCCCACCCUCCAUCUCUCUUUGAAGAGAAUCAAAGCCACCAUGAUGAGGAAGGGACACCAAUGAGCUACUGUCAUUGUGAGGAGGAUGAUCUGGAUGUCUCAGUAUCUAUCAGAGAAAGUAAGGAAAACUGAGGCUGUGGUCUCACUGUGAAGGGAGACACGUCUAGAAAAAAAUAUCCCUUUGAAGAGCUUUUGAGAAUCAAAUGAAAAAUAUCUGAUGUGGGACAGUUUUUCUCUGAAAUUGUGAGUGGCCUGCUGGGUGGCUUCUGUGCUGUGCAAGAGCAUGGUUAUGAGGAUGGUGGAUUUGGGGGUGGGGUGGGGUUUGGGGUUUAGGGUUUCCUCCUGCUUAUAAGGAAGGAAGGACACAGAAAGAAGGUUCCACUAAAUGAGCCUCCAGGGAGUGUGGGGCUGUGGUGCGGGCACUACUGAGCCAGAUUCUGACCCUCCUUCCCCUUUGUUUGCCACACGGAUUUGCAAUUCUUCCCACUAAGGAGGGGAGGGGAGCCUGCCCCUUGACUUCGGGUUGGCUGCAUAACUCAGUUUGGCCAGAUCACCAGGGACCUGAUGCAUUUUUACUUGCUCCAUCGCCCCUCCGCCAUCACCCUGAACAGACUGACUACUGUGUUACUGGUUGGCGGUGUGAAGAGUGCAGCCACCAGUGGCCACCACCUGAAGCACAGAGGCGUCACCAAGCCGACCUUGGGCCAGCAGAAGCCCAGUGGCCCUGCAGACGUGGGCAACACAGAACUGUUGAAGUCCUGAGGCCGGGGCACUCCAUGAUAUAGCUGCACCUUUGGCACAGGAGCGAGGAGACCAGCACUGGGCAGGAGUGCACUCCCAGGGCCCAGUCAGCGCUCUGCUCGGGGCCACCAGCUGUUCCAGAAGACUAACAGCUGAGCCGCUAAUUGAGAGGACAGGACAACUUUAGUAACCGGUCAUCACGGACUCCCAAUUUCGUGAUCCCUUCUGCAUUUCAGACCUUUGCUCUCAUUCCUACACAUAAUGAAAAGAAAAACCAGACUUUUAAUCACGGUGGUUGGCUGCAAAAAGUGACACUUUUGCUAAUAAUAAACAUGCGAUCGUUAACGCUUUACCACAUCACAUGCCUUUGGCUCAGGUCUCCUGGUACUUCAUAAACACGUCCUCAUUCAUCAUUUGGAGGCCUGAGGUUUCUGCUCACUCCCAUGGCGAAGAGAGGCAGCUAACUCCUGGCCUGGGGGACCUUUCCUGGGGUCCUGAGUUAAUAGGAUUCUCCGAGGGACGGAGGACAAGGAAUUACCUAUGGUCUUGUUGGAGAACACUGACUCUAAAUAAUUUCCUAUCCAUGCAACUGCUCACCAUCUCAGUGCCUGACUUGGAUUUUAAUCUGGUUCAGCUUCUUCCUGACUGUUGUGACCUUAGGGAAAUGAACUUUUCUGACCCUCUGCUCCCUCAACAUAAAACCUUAAGAGUUGCUGUCAGGGUUCUAGAUAAUAACUACAUAAGAAAAAAACUUCUGGUCUUAUGCUUACAUGUGUAGGUUCUUAAGGCUAGCUGUUUUCUUUAUCAGAGCACACAGGAAGGAGGGUUGUCGUGUGUGAAUGUAUACGUUGUUAACUGCAAAAGACGCCUAGCCAAGGAGGCAAACAGGGCUGAAGUCCAAUCCUUGUCUCCUCUGUGGCUUGUAGCUGUCCAGAAAAAAGGGUCCCUGUUCCUAACUUGCACUUGCACACAGGGUAUAAGGCAGACCUGAUGGCCCAGCACCCUGAGAGUCAAAAUCACUUUUGUGUUGAAAUGUCUCUGAAAGAAAGUGAAAACCCAUCACUUGAGUAGCCUGCAAAUAGUCAUUCAGCUUUUUUUUUGAUUGAGCACAUCUGGGGAGACACCUUGGAAUCUGUACUCAAACUCAAUGUCUGGGAAUGUCUGUCCACACCGAGCCUCAUGAACCACUGUGAUGUUUCUGGUCUCCUUGGCUCAGGCCUGGGCUCUUGAGAGAUAACAGCAGGUCGAACAAACAAACAGGAAAUAAUCUACACCAGUUCAAGUUUAAAUCCCAGGGUUAAAAAUCCAGAAAUACCCGCUGUGUCUUGUUAACAAGAGCUUCAGUCAGCAGGGCCUCCCAGAGCGCUUGGGGCAGGGAGAGGCCAGGCACAGAGGGGGCACGUGGCAGAGGGGCAGUUGGAAGGUGGCCGGGUCUCUGACAAGUAGCCUCUGAUGUACACUAAUGAUAGGAAAGAGCUUGGCCACCGAAGGCAAUUACAGAGGAUGAGACACUGCGCACGCCAGCGAGUCAGGGGAGUGCAGGGGGAUCUUAUUAUCUCUCUGUCUUGCUUAAUAGGAGUUAAUAGUUGGAAGGGAAUAAAAGAAUGGUGUGUGAAGUUUAGUGCCAAUACGGUCUAAUAUACAUGCUAUGUUUUUAUUUCAAAGAGGAUAAAGGCCCAAAUUUUAUACUGAAAACAAAUGUUAAAAAUUAAUUAUAAAGAAGACACCAGAGGGCCUCGAGCAUGUUCCCUGGGUGACUGAUUAAAUGCCUGCCUCAUUUAGACUGGUAUAAACCCAAUCUCUUGGAGGAAGGCCAAAACUAUUUGCCAACGUCCACAGAGACUCUCCAAGAAAAUGAUCCUGGUGCCAGGAAAGAGAAAAACAUACUCACCACUGCUGCCUGGAGCCAGCCACAGCCAUGGGGUGGGAUCCAGUCACGGGCAGGAAAGGGAAUGCUUCUGCUAGGUCAGUGUGGGUCAAGCGCAUCCUUUACCACCUGAAACUGAUCACUGAGGACCCAAACAAGUGACACUGCACAAAUCUGUGAUGAAGGUGUCCUUGAAGCUUGGGGGGGAUGGGGGCUUUAUUUUUUUAACCCCUAGAUUUUGUUUGCUUUUAGAGAAUAUCUUCCCAAUUCUCAGAGUGUGCAAACUCUAACUGAAAAUUUAAGAAGUAGGAAAUAAGCCAAUGGCUCUGUUACCUUUUGAAUUUUAAAAUUAUAUUUUAAUGGCAAGAUAACAUGUUCCUUGUUAAAACUAAAAGAUUAUCAAAAAAGCUGCCUUCGACACUCUGCAUAGCCUCAAACCCUAAUUUCUUUCUUUCCUCCUUCCUUCCUUCCUUUUGCCUCAAGUCUGGUGUGGGCUCUCUCUGACCCUCAGAGAGCACAAACACACAGAAUCGUUCUGUGUAGUAUCCUUCUACUGGUGUCAUCACACAGGACAUAUUUUUCCACACCUCACAUUUUCCAUUCAAUGACAGGGUUUGGAAUUUAAUUCACAUUGGUACAUAUGCUAACCAUGGCAUAAUAUUCCAAAAUAUGGAUACAAUUACUUCACAUUCAACAUUUUGAAAAAAGGUCCAAGUUUCUUAGGUUGAUAUUUAGGGCUGUUCACAGUAAGAUCCCAACCUUCUCUGAUAUUUAGGGCUGCUCACAGUAUGACCCCAAUAUUCUCUAUUUUCCACAGGUCCCCCUCUCCACUUCAAAGGAAACCAACCAAACCAGAGGAACCAUUUGCAGUUUCUCACAAGGGAAGGGCAGCAUUUCAAUGGAGAGCUCUCCGUACCAUCAGCUCUCCCCAUCCUUGAAGGGCAGGCCCUGGAACCUUCCUCAGGAGGGCCAGUGUCCUUCACAUGCCCCCUGUGUGGGGCCCUUACCACUCGUGCUGAGCAUUCAAGUGACUAAUGGACUAUUCUCACUGUCCCUUUUCAGCAGCAAGCCCCUGAAGGGUAAGAGCAUGGACCGGGAUGUAGUAGCAGGUGCUCAACAAGUUUUUGUUGAAUUAAGAAAAAAAAAGUAACAAUGUCUUACCGAUUCUUUAUACUGCUAUGGGAGGAGCAAAGGCCAAGCUAGAAGUUGGACUGUGGACACAUUUUCCUCCCUGCCAUCCAUCCACUUAUCCACCCAUCUUUCUUUUUUAUUCCUCCUUCUACCCCACCCUUCAUUCUUUCUCUUUGGUGGCAGCCAUGAAAACAUGCCUUCAGAUUUCUGACAGCACUGUAAAGCUGGGGUAGGAUAACUAAUGAGAAGCAUGAGCCAGUGCUGGAUAUGUGGCCCCUCUUGUCACCAUGGGGGUGUGGCAGGACUGACAACAGUGGCUCACACUGGCUGGGCUCCUUUGAGCUGCACCCCCAGGCUGCACUGAUUCCUGGAGUCCCCAUGCAUUGGCAAGGGCCUCCCGUGUUUCACGGUGCAUUCACUUUAUCCUACUGCUACCGGGGAUUUGACAACCCCUAUUUUAUUUUAUUCAUGAGAGACUCAGAGAGAGGGGCAGAGACACAGGCAGAGGGGAGCCCGAUGUGGGACUUGAUCCCAGGAUCCCGGGACCAUGACCUGAGCUGAAGGAAGACGCUCAACCACUGAGCCACCCAAUGGCCCUGGGCAGCCCUUCUAUUUUAGAGUGAGAGGAAGGGACUGCCAGAGAAACUAGUGGCUUGCCUGAGGGGCCACGCCCGGGCCCCCUUGAGCCAAGUCGGAUGCUCAGACGCCAGGGGCAACUGCAGCCCGAGGCAGCGGGGGCUGAACAGUCAGGGCCCAAGAGGUGCUAGAACAAAACGAGUUCCAUGAUUCCUCUCACUUCCAUCGGCUGUCUCUUGGUGAGGGAAGGUCUGAUAUGCCUAGGACACGCUAAAAUGCUGACAUUUGUUUCUUUAAAGCAGACUAUGUCAUUCAGGAGCCAUGGGCUCUUCCUCACUUCUGAUUUUCUAAAUCCUGAGCUUCUGCAGCGAGUCUUCCAGUUCUCAACAAGCAUGACGGCGGGGUCUGUGGGGUCAGCACAGGGCUUCCGCGGCAGCUCCCUGCUCCCCUGGGCCUGGAGGCUGCUGGCGGCCCCCACUCUGCCCCCCUGCGGCCCUGAGGCAGCUGUCCCUUCCAGUGGGCCCCUGGCAGCCGUGGCGCCCUCAUGUCGGGGGCCCAAGGCGAGGUGCAGGGUAAGCCCUCACAAGACGGGCUGCCAGUGCCAUAUGGGGGCCUGGCUGAGCCCCCUCGGAGCCAUCAGCUCUGCUGCCUCCUAGAACAGAUGACAGGGACUGCCUUGUGUGUGUCCGCCAACCUCUCCUGACCUCUGGUAGCCCUUGUCUGGUAGCCCUACCUCUCCUUCCUCUCGGCUCGGGUUUGGGAAAACAGGCUUCUAAAAGCAUUCCUGCUUGUCAGCAUCCUAUCAACCAUUUUCUUGGCUGAUUGAUUCCUGUUUUCUACAAUUCCAAAAUUCAUGUCCUGUGUGUCCUCACGGCUCACAUUUCCUGGUGUCCUUCCUCUGUUCCUUCCCAUCCUCUUACUGCCUCCUCCACACACCUGCCCCGCCUCAGACCUCUGGGCUUGUUUUGUCCAGACAGACAGGACUCCAUGAGCAGCGCUCAGGUGCCACCAUCCAGGUGGCAGCCCGCUGAGACGGGGACUGUGAGGAUAUGGCCCCAGGCACGGCAGAGCCCCUUGGCAGUUCUUAACACACCAUCAGUUUUCAGAGAUGCACUCAGCCUGUUUGGGCCAACAAGCAACCUGAGAGCCAGCGUGGGAGUUACUGGGCAGGAACCAGCAAUCUGAAAGAGAAACAAAUAAGGGCCACCCAGAGUGCUGAAGUGGACGGAACCAGCGGGUAGAGAUAGUAGGUCUGGGUAUGGAGAGCAAUACUCAUUUUCAAUGUUGCUUCCUACGCCACCAUCAGUGGGCAAUGGAUGCUGGCAGUGAUGAUGAUGACAAUACAAAAGAAAAAAGGUUACAUCAGUGAAUUUAACUUUCAAAAAUCAGAUGACUAUAUCUAUAUUCCUGUUUUAACGGUUAGAAGAUAAACUAGAAUCUAGGUCAGUGUCAAACUAAAUACCUGUUUGAGGUGCCUUCCAAAGAGGAGGGUAAAGAAAGCACUUUUUUAAAAAAAUAAUUAAAAUUCUCCCAAAUAGGAUUAAUUUCUUACUAUUCUAAUUUUUAUUUCAAGCGUACAAAACCUGGAUCCUGAUGUGGAGAAGAUGACCAAUCGUUUCCAAGUCUGGUUUGGUUCUGGUUGUUACAUUAGCCCCUACAUCAUAUGUGGGUUCCACAUGCCCCCACACAGCUGGGAAAGUCUCGCCCUCGCCUUUGCUUUUAUCCUUCUUGGAGGAGACUAAGACAUCACAUAUUCCCCAGAGGAGGAGAAGAGGACAGCUGCAUUUUGCCCUUAGCCCCUCCAUCAUUAUCAUUCCAAAAUGCUGCAUCUUAAGUUUGGCUUUCUCUGUCUGCUAAGAACUCAGAUUCUUCCCACUGAGAGAUAAGGCUCCCCAAAACGUCACCAAAAUGUGUUCCAGAAGCGGUUAGCAGUCCUUGUCCUGGCCUGGGUGAGCGGGAUCUAGUAGGAACCAGCCCCUUCACCUCACAAAACCAGCCAUCCUUCCCAAAAUGUCAAAUAGGGGAUAAUUGGUUCAGGUAAGUGUCAGCUCCCCAGCCCCCAGGCCACCAGUUUUUGGUAUUCUUUCUUUUCUUUCUAGUAAUUCAUUUCACAAUGACCUUCCUCCAAAAGGCUGGCAUUUUUACAAGUGUUUCUUGGGGAAGGUGUCCCGCUUUGCUAAAGCAGCAUCCUAUGAAACUACAGCAAAGUCUUGCUGGUGUUGCUUGUUACUGCUGGGGAAGUCGAGAUUCUGGGUGAGCGCAGACCUCCACCUCCAGUGGGUGUGCACUCACCUCCUUCAAUUGGCACAUGUGUGCCACUUCCAGGAGGGUAGAAUUUAACCUGAGCACUUUCCCCCCGAAGUGUGAACUACGUUCUCACACACUCUGUCACCUUCCUUUGUGUUUCUAAAUUAGAAAACCUAAACCCAAAUGUCACUUUUCUCAGACAUGAAACCCUCUCAUGGUCAAUGUAAAAGGAGGAGGCAAUUAACUUCCUGGGUAAAUUCAACCACGCUGAAAAAAGUGGUUAAAAAAGAAAACCUAUUCCACAAACGACAUCCCUUGUUUAAAGCCAAAAUGAUGAAUGCAGCUCCUGAGGCUCCUGUCAAAUGAGCAAGGUGGAGGAGAGCGCUUGCCUUCCCUCUGUUGCCAGCUGGCUACGAGAAUGCACUGUUUCUAUGCUGCUGGAUACACUGAUUGGCUGUUUGAUGAGGCCGAUUUGUGGCUAGUUUCUUUGCUUUUUUUCCUUUUCCUUUUUGAUACUGUCCUUCAAGUUUUCUAAUAAAACAAGCUCCAUUUCUGAGUUUCCAGUGGGGCUAUUACGGCCUAGCACACAAUGGGCCCGGCAGGCCCUGACUGAACGCACUGCAUUCUGCUAGUGAGUCCAGUAAUUAUAGAGGAAUAGACCUAUGCAGAAACAAAAAGACAGAGGCAAGGCUCCAACUAGUUGUUCAAGUCUCAACAGUUUUCUUCCAGGUUUGAUUAAAAUUGUGCUUGAAAAUUUGUCGUCUCCCACCUCUGCAUAAGUGAAAAUGAAAACACAUUUUUAUUUGCACAGUUCUUUAGAUGGUCAUGUUGUGACUCAGAGGGUGAAGGGACCUGCUUAACCAUAUUUGAAUGAAUUUCUAAGCCACAGACUGAUUCCUGCCAGGAUGGCUUAGAGCCCUGGAGUUCCCGUAACCACAGGAGGUCAACCAUUUCCCCAUGACGAAAUUUCCUCAACCCCGCCCAAAGGCAUCAGUUGCUUCUCUAGAUGAGCUUGACCUCAGGAUACAAAAUAGCAUGUGGAGCAUGGUUGCACCUGGCACCUCAAAAACAGCUUCUUAUUAAGGCACCAGCAGGUCCUAGCAUCUUAGCUCAAUGACUAUGGCUUCAGUAACAGAAGUGGGGUAUGCUGAGUGGAAGGUCUGGAAGUUUCUGUCCUACUCAAGCCAAGCGCCAUCUUCCCAGAGCUACUGAUGGCCACAGGUA